AAGGUCUGGGUCUUGCAUGUAGUUGGACGCGGAGCUCCGGAUGAGUGCUGAAACUGGUAGUGAGAACGAAGAGAGAAGAGAAGAGCUGUGUGAUAUGUCCUCGAGCAGGUUAAGUGUCCGUCAUGAUCACCCAUAGCGGAUAGGUGAAGGUGUCUGUGCAUGUGGCCCCCAGGUGGCACAAGAGGACUAUGGAGCCCAAUGUCGUCCAUUUGUACUCUUCCACGCCGCCUCCAAUGGACGAGGCAGCAGAGGAUGAGUUCAGUGAGUUUGGCAGUUUCGGCGACAGAGGCAUGAUGUCCAGUUGCAGCUUCUCAGAGCUUGACACACCCAUAACGUUCAACCAAUCAAAUGUACUGGAGGACUCUCCACCUGACCUGUACAUCACAUCCGUGCAGAAUCUCACUCUGUCUGGAAAGAACAGAUCCGCCAAUGUGAAAAAAAUAUUAGAGGAAGCAUACCAGCCUUGUGUGGUAUCAAACCUAGAAACAUUAGAAGGUGAGACAGAGGUGCACAGUUGCACUGAGAAUAUAAAGAAGGAAACAUUGGAGAUUCUCACAAAUGGUGUAACAUCCUCUGACCCACAGAAGGAGCUCUCUGAAAUCCACAGCUGCACAGGCCAGAAUUUAGAUGGCACAGGUGACCGAAACAACCUCAGUAAUGGCCAUUCAGAGCAAAAGAAAGUUCAGCGCACCUUCUUAAAAAGCACAGAGAGCAGAAUAAACUCUGGACUGGAUGAUGGGUUAGACGGAACACAGAAAAUUAACCAAACAGACAACCUGCAAGACUGUAACAGUAACUCAUCUCCUAAAGAAAAAUCUGAACUUGUAGAGAUGGGAGUGGAAAUGGAGUUAAGUGAUGACUCCCAGUCAUUUAGUCCAUGUAAAGAUGUACAGGAGGCUGAAGAUAAGCAGGAACAUAAGGAGAACAAGGGACCAGAAGAUAAGGGACUUCCAGGUGCUGCUGGCUCCUCAAGUGAGGACUUUGUUAUUUGUAGUGUCACGGGUGAUUCCAAGGCAGCGACAGCCCCCUCAUUUGAUGUGGAUAUAACCUCUGACACACAACUGAACAGAGACACAAGGGAAAUUCAUGAAUCCUCAGACAUGGAGGUAAAUGAGGACAUUAAGGCCUUUAAUGAUACACCAACAGACAGAGGUGCAGCCGAAGAGGACUUUGGGGAUUUCAGAGAUGUAACUCAGGGUUUUGCAGACUUCAGCCGGACUGAACCACUAAUCCAGGAAGGAUUCGCUGAUUUUGUCACGGCAAUGUCAUGCUGCUCCUCCGAUGAUGAAUUUGGUGACAUGGACACCCUGAAAGACUUCAAGGAGCAAGAUGAGCCAGCUGAGGAAGAGGAGAAGUUUGCUGACAGUACAGGAGGUUUUUGUUCAGAGUUGCCGCCUAGCGAUAGUUUUGCUGACUUUAGCUCUGUUCUGUUUGGUGGUGUGGUGGUGGAAGAGGAAGAGAACUGGGCUUCGUUUGGACAACAUGAAGGCAUAGAAGAGAGUCAGGAUUCAUGGUCAGCAUUUGGGGAGGAACAGACUACUUUUGUGGGUACAGAGGUACAAGAUUAUAUGACUUCAACAGUGCUCUCUAGUGAAAACCCCCAGAGAAACAGAAUGGACAAAGACACUACUGAGUUCAGCUGUACAUUUCAGCAUCUCUUCAGAUCCACUUUCCCUUCAGAUGUCAGUCCUGAGGUUAGUGGGGUCACAGUGGUGUUGACCCUCGAGGAAGCCCUGCAGGCUCAGGAUCCUCCGGAGCUAAGGGACCCGAGCAGCUCUUUUGCCCUGGGGAAUGCAUUAGCCAUAUGGCGCCACCUUCAGGAUAUUCACGGCACACACGGCCUCAAGUUCAAAUGGGCAGGUUCCCAUAGCAACAGACUCCUGCUGGAUUGCCUAGGAAUCAGGAACAUUUUGUUCACUGGUGAGAAGAAGCAGCCAGUUAUCGUGCCUAUGUUUGCUGCUGGGCUGGGAAUGCUUGAGCCCACGAAAGAGUCCUCAAAAUCUCCAGCCUCUCCUGCACUUUCUCCUUCUACUCCUGUGGAGAGUGGAAAUAUACUACACACUCAGGUGGCACCCUCUUUGGCUGUUAGUAUUGACGGUAUGUCUGUUCGCCGUGCCUCCUUCUCUAUAGCUCAAGAUAAAACCAAUUGCCACUCACGGCAGAAAUCGUACUCCUGAUACUUCUCAUCACCCUGCCCUUUAUCACCAUCACUCCUAUCUUCUCUCUGUCUUUCUAACUUUCUGUUCCAUUCACAAUUCACAGAUAUUGCAAAUGGUUUUUGUUUUGAUUUAAACACUGAACUACAAUUACCAGGACAAUUUGAGUAAUAGCUAUCCAAAUCUUGUUGACAGAUGCUUUUGAACCACAAGACAGGAGACAAUUGAAGCGAUUUGGGAAAUUUAUAUUUCUCUUCUCUCUCGCUCUCUCUCUCUUUCCUCCCAAGCCCCUUUUCCACCAACAGGGUUCAAGUACUGGAGCUGGUGCCCAAUCUGGAACUGUUCUGUGCAUAUUCAUAUGUAUAUCUGCUCUGCAUCAGCCCAUAAAUCCUUCUGAUUUUGACCCGAUAAUGUCAGAAGCAGGGGGGCAAGAUAAUGUCCUUACUAUGUAAAACCUUCACAACAACAUUUUAGUCUGGCAAAACUGAUGCAAAAAACUAAACUAGAUCAAGUAAAAUGAUAUCAUCCCCAUUAUAAUCAGCAAAUAUCUACACUGAAACGCUCAUUGCUGCAAUGUGACAUGCGUUCAGAUGGACAUUUGGUGUGUUUCAUUGUACAGCAGCUCUGGCCACUUUAUUUUUCCGUGCCAUCUUAAAAUUAUUUUAUCUACAAAAUUACUCUGUAUAUGUAAACUGGUUGCUAUAAAUAGUAUUUGUGCUUAACUGUAGCAUCAAGAGCAACUUGUAAUAGCUUAAAGACACAAUAAAUCAAAUCAAAUUUUAUGGCUCCAGCACAAGAACCAGCACCAUUUUGGUGGAAAAGGGUACUGAAACACUACUCAGAAACAUAUUUGUCUUUGUUUUGAUUUUAUAUGUUUAUACCCUGUUCUCUAUUGCCUGUUCCUCUUGUUUUUGCAUAUGCACUAUGAAAUUACAGGCCAUCUUCAGUAUGCUUUCUACGCUCAUAUACACACGCAGCGGCUGAAAUGUACUACCUCAAAUGAUAAGUAUAUAGUUUUAACAGGGAUUAAUCACCUUGUCAAGAUAUGCAAGACUCUCUGCCCAUUAUUACAUAUUUUCUCUAUUGUGUUGUCAAAAAUACCACCAGAUUAGUCCUUACGCUCCAGCUAUUGUCUCAGGUUUGAUUGAAAAAUGUAUUGCUAAUCUUUUUUGGAAUAGCUGACCUUACUGCUGGUGCUAAUUUAAAGCCAUUGUACAGCUUGCCUUGGCUUGUUUGAAGGGUGAACACCAACAAUUAUUUUAAAGAUUUACAUAAACAUGCUACAACACACGCUGAGAUACUAUUUUGCACAUGUGAAGUUUGAGUUUGGUGGAAAUUUCGGUUCAACAGUCCAUGUAAAUGUAAGACACCAUGUUUCCUUGUCUUUAUGUUCAUAUUCUGUUUUUCCAUCUGAUAAAAACAAAUGAUUGUCUCCUUCCUGUCUCAGACCUCAGUCAGAUCUUCGUCAAUGCACUUUUAACAACCUUUUGCAAACUGUGAUCUACUGCUUUUGCUUGAUCUUUACCAAAUUGUUGACAUUAAAGACUUUUGUUGUUGUGUCACACCACAUUGAAUUUCUUUUGAUAAAUAUACAUCAUAAAUCUGUCAAUAAAAUUAUGUACUGGGGCCUGGGUAGCUCAGCAAGUAAAGACGCUGACUACCACACCUGGGCGUGCUGAGUGACUCCAGUCAGACUUCCUAAGCAACUAAUUGGCUAAGGUGGGUAGAGUCACGUUGGGUUGAGUUGUGCAUGGAUGCCGUGGAGAAUAGCGUAAAGCCUCCACAUGCACUAGGUCUCCACAGUAACGUGCUCAACAAGCCACGUGAUACAUGGAGUGACGAUCUGAGACGCGGAGGCAACUGAGAUUUGUCCUCCGCAACCCGGAUUCAGGCGAGUCACUACGCCACCUAGAGAGCAUUGGGAAUUGGGUGUGCCAAAUUGGGGUGAAAAUCCCCCCCAAAAAUGUCUAAUAAAAUGAUGUACUUCAAUAUGUCUAUAGCUCUUCACAUUCACUUCACUAUAGCUCUUCUCUCUUUGCCUAAUAUGUUGCUACAGGUCAGUGUUGCCAGACACUGACCUGGUAAGCAGGUAAGCAACCUUAUCUGACGUAACUUGCCUAAAUAAUAAGGACUAGCAAACCCCAAUACAUUCUGGAAAAUAAGCUGUUUAUAAUAAGCGGACAUGUUGACACUGACAUGUUUUGUACUGAUCUGCUAUUAGUUUCUUCAUAUCUGUAGAAUCUGUAUCUUCCUUUAAAUCUUUUACAUAUACUGCUAUUACAUUUGUAUAUAUUACUGUUAAUAUAUCAUGGGUUUUAAAUGCUUCAAGCACUAACACACUAAUUCGCACUGUUACACUAUCAUUGCUAUAACUCUCAUGUGAAGCGCAAGAUGGUGGAUUCCCAGAGCUAAAUUUGGACUAUUUUGGGCCUGUGGAUGAUUGUAACACAAAUAUUGAAAAUGACACUCCACUACCAGGUUUGAACAGAACAGAAUCGGUUCUGUUUUCAAGUAGCUGGCUUGCUGUGAAAUCUUCUUUCCUUACUUUUUCAUUCUGUUUGUGAUUUAAAAACCGAUGUCUUUAAAGGGAAGCUGUCAUCUUAGAUUUUCUUCUUAGUAUGGCGCUCUGUCCCUCAUUUCUCCUCUCUGGAUUGGCUCUGUGUUGAUCCAGAGUUGUAUGAACUGACUACAGCUAAAAUAGAGACCAACAACACUGGUCGAAGCAG
Molecule: RNA transcript, 4882 nt
Organism: Xyrauchen texanus (razorback sucker)
Lineage: Eukaryota; Metazoa; Chordata; Actinopteri; Cypriniformes; Catostomidae
Gene name: aftiphilin-like
Exons: 8
Source: RefSeq, a predicted model, not a curated record